Molecule: ribosomal RNA, 253 nt
Filed under: uncultured bacterium
Lineage: Bacteria
Description: partial 16S ribosomal RNA
Rfam family: Bacterial small subunit ribosomal RNA
Source: RNAcentral
UACGUAGGGGGCUAGCGUUGUUCGGAAUUACUGGGCGUAAAGCGUGCGUAGGCGGGUUGCUAAGUCAGGUGUGAAAUCCCGGGGCUCAACCUCGGAACUGCAUUUGAUACUGGCGGCCUAGAGACCGGGAGAGGUGAGCGGAAUACCGAGUGUAGAGGUGAAAUUCGUAGAUAUUCGGUGGAACACUAGUGGCGAAGGCGGCUCACUGGACCGGUACUGACGCUGAGGCACGAAAGCGUGGGGAGCAAACAGG